UACGGGGGGGGCAAGCGUUGUUCGGAAUUACUGGGCGUAAAGGGCGCGUAGGCGGCCUUCUAAGUCAGACGUGAAAUCCCUCGGCUCAACCGAGGAACUGCGUCUGAUACUGGAAGGCUUGAAUCCGGGAGAGGGAUGUGGAAUUCCAGGUGUAGCGGUGAAAUGCGUAGAUAUCAGGAAGAACACCCGUGGCUAAGGCGGCUCUCUAGUACGGUACUGACGCUGAGACGCGGAAGCGUGGGGAGCAAACAGG
RNAcentral lists this ribosomal RNA (253 nucleotides) under uncultured bacterium. RNAcentral's name for it is "partial 16S ribosomal RNA". It matches the Rfam family "Bacterial small subunit ribosomal RNA", at positions 524 to 776 of the family's 1533-position model. The record is from RNAcentral.